This is a long non-coding RNA of Panicum virgatum (switchgrass), 774 nucleotides long. RefSeq lists it as uncharacterized. Lineage: Eukaryota; Viridiplantae; Streptophyta; Magnoliopsida; Poales; Poaceae. The record is from RefSeq and is a predicted model, not a curated record. The transcript has 3 exons.
GCGAUUGCAUCGCACAUGCCGCCCCGCUACAGCUCCUCCAUCUCCAACGCUAACCGCCUCCUGCUCCGACCGUCUCCGACCACCUCCACCUCCAACCGCCUCCGUCCGCCUCCGCCUCCGCCUUCACCUCUGGCCGCCUCCGCCUCCGCCUCCCCCUUGCGACCUCCGCCUCCGGCCGCCUCCACCUCCGCCUCCUCUGCGACGCGUGCGAUGAAUAGACGUCCCCGCAUCGAACAGCACCUUCCCUCGGCUUGGCUCCGUGCUGAAAAAAAGGCAACUACGGCUUGGUUCCUUCGGCACGGCAACUUCUCGGACGCCACCACCGUCAUGGUAGGAGGUGAAGGGUCCAACAAGGACGAUGACCCUACCGCUAGGUAUGUUGGCCCACGAUGGCAGGAGGAGGAAGUAGUGUCAUGGUCUCAUGGAAGCCGAAGGAUCCCAGGAGGACGCAGGCUCAAGGGCGGUAAGGCUUAUGGUGCCCUCAUCUCAUCUGCCUUCACUUGCCAUAGCACCACCUGCGCACAAAGACGAUGGUUUCAUGGGUAAUCGUGGAGGUGAAGGAGACGAGCGAGAGAACACAGAAUAAGUCGAUCACCAUGGGAGUAGACAUUGUUGAAGCUAAUGGCGAUGACAAUACACUCUUACAUUGUAAUAUUUGCUGUUGUUCUAAUAGUCAUUUAUUUCUCAACUCGUUGUAUGACCCAGCCUGCUCAACUCAUCCCCUGUAAGAAAUACUCCCUCCAUACUAUCUUUUUUAGAUGUCGUUAGAACAUA